This 253-nucleotide ribosomal RNA is filed under the name uncultured bacterium. Its description in RNAcentral is "partial 16S ribosomal RNA". It matches the Rfam family "Bacterial small subunit ribosomal RNA", at positions 524 to 776 of the family's 1533-position model. The record is from RNAcentral.
UACGGAGGGUGCAAACGUUGCUCGGAAUUAUUGGGCGUAAAGCGCACGUAGGCGGCCGUUUAAGUCGGGUGUGAAAGCCCAGGGCUCAACCCUGGAAGUGCACUCGAAACUGGACGGCUUGAAUAUGGAAGAGGGUUGCGGAAUUCCCGGUGUAGAGGUGAAAUGCGUAGAUAUCGCUUGGAACGCCAACGGUGAAAACAGACGACUGGGAGUGCGCUGACGCUGAGACACGAAAGCCAGGGGAGCGAACGGG